GCAGUAGCCGCGGGAAUACGUAGGGUGCGAGCGUUAAUCGGAAUUACUGGGCGUAAAGCGUGCGCAGGCGGUUGUGUAAGACAGGUGUGAAAUCCCCGGGCUUAACCUGGGAACUGCGCUUGUGACUGCACAGCUAGAGUAUGGCAGAGGGGGGUGGAAUUCCACGUGUAGCAGUGAAAUGCGUAGAGAUGUGGAGGAACACCGAUGGCGAAGGCAGCCCCCUGGGCCAAUACUGACGCUCAUGCACGAAAGCGUGGGGAGCAAACAGGAUUAGAUACCCCCGUAGUCCCUGUCUCUUAUAC
RNAcentral lists this ribosomal RNA (302 nucleotides) under uncultured bacterium. Its description in RNAcentral is "partial 16S ribosomal RNA". It matches the Rfam family "Bacterial small subunit ribosomal RNA", at positions 508 to 807 of the family's 1533-position model. The record is from RNAcentral.